Molecule: transfer RNA, 67 nt
Filed under: Mannophryne collaris (collared poison frog)
Lineage: Eukaryota; Metazoa; Chordata; Amphibia; Anura; Aromobatidae
Description: tRNA-His
Source: RNAcentral
UAGACAUAGUUUAUAAAAAUUCUAGCCUGUGACCCUAGAGAUGAGGACUAACACUCCCCUGUCUAUC